GGGGGGAGGCAGGAUCCUGGGCUGUGUCCCCGGCGCCCAGUGCUCUGGGGCCUGCGCUGUUGGAUUCACUCUCCCGCUGACGCAGCACCCU
This 91-nucleotide microRNA precursor is filed under the name Canis lupus familiaris (dog). Its description in RNAcentral is "mir-8799 microRNA precursor family". It matches the Rfam family "mir-8799 microRNA precursor family". RNAcentral also lists the same sequence under 1 other name. The record is from Rfam by way of RNAcentral. Lineage: Eukaryota; Metazoa; Chordata; Mammalia; Carnivora; Canidae.